CCUACGGGUGGCUGCAGUGGGGAAUAUUGCACAAUGGGGGAAACCCUGAUGCAGCGACGCCGCGUGAAGGAAGAAGUCUUUCGGUAUGUAAACUUCUAUCAGCAGGGGAGUAAAUUACGGUACCUGACUAAGAAGCCCCGGCUAUCUACGUGCCAGCAGCCGCGGUAAUACGUCGGAGGCAAGCGUUAUCCGGAUUUACUGGGUGUAAAGGGAGCGUAGGCGGGGUAGCAAGUCAGAAGUGAAAGCCCGGGGCUCAACUCCGGGACUGCUUUUGAAACUGUUGAACUAGAUUGCAGGAGAGGUAAGUGGAAUUCGUGGUGUAGCGGUGAAAUGCGUAGAUAUUAGGAGGAACACCAGUGGCGAAGGCGGCUUACUGGACUGUAAAUGACGCUGAGGCUCGAAAGCGUGGGGAGCAAACAGGAUUAGAUACCCGAGUAGUC
Molecule: ribosomal RNA, 440 nt
Filed under: uncultured bacterium
Lineage: Bacteria
Description: partial 16S ribosomal RNA
Rfam family: Bacterial small subunit ribosomal RNA
Source: RNAcentral